AGACCCGAAACCCGGUGAUCUAGCCAUGGGCAGGUUGAAGGUUGGGUAACACUAACUGGAGGACCGAACCGACUAAUGUUGAAAAAUUAGCGGAUGACCUGUGGCUGGGGGUGAAAGGCCAAUCAAACCGGGAGAUAGCUGGUUCUCCCCGAAAGCUAUUUAGGUAGCGCCUCGUGAAUUCAUCUCCGGGGGUAGAGCACUGUUUCGGCUAGGGGGCCAUCCCGGCUUACCAACCCGAUGCAAACUGCGAAUACCGGAGAAUGUUAUCACGGGAGACACACGGCGGGUGCUAACGUCCGUCGUGAAGAGGGAAACAACCCAGACCGCCAGCUAAGGUCCCAAAGUCAUGGUUAAGUGGGAAACGAUGUGGGAAGGCCCAGACAGCCAGGAUGUUGGCUUAGAAGCAGCCAUCAUUUAAAGAAAGCGUAAUAGCUCACUGGUCGAGUCGGCCUGCGCGGAAGAUGUAACGGGGCUAAACCAUGCACCGAAGCUGCGGCAGCGAACGUAUCACUUAAAGCGAUUCAGCGGGUUACGAUUGACGGAGCGAAGCGACGUCAAAGCGUAUACAAAGUCGAGUCGGUUUAAGGAUACGUUCGUUGGGUAGGGGAGCGUUCUGUAAGCCUGUGAAGGUGUGUCGUGAGGCAUGCUGGAGGUAUCAGAAG
RNAcentral lists this ribosomal RNA (662 nucleotides) under Salmonella enterica subsp. enterica serovar Infantis. RNAcentral's name for it is "partial 23S ribosomal RNA". It matches the Rfam family "Bacterial large subunit ribosomal RNA", at positions 711 to 1288 of the family's 2925-position model. The record is from RNAcentral. RNAcentral also lists the same sequence under 1 other name. Lineage: Bacteria; Pseudomonadati; Pseudomonadota; Gammaproteobacteria; Enterobacterales; Enterobacteriaceae.